AUGGAGAUUGCCAGCAGCAUCAUGUCAAUGUAUGAUGAUCUAACUGCGAUCCUUGUCACUUAUUAUGGCGAGAUGCGGCCACACCCCACGGCGAUUUUGUUUGGUGCAACAACAGACGGGGCACCUGUGAAGAUUGACCUUGCACAGAGCAACUUUGGGAGGGACCCAUGGGUUGCCGGUUCUGUCCCCCCGCCACCCCCAGAAAACGCGCUUAGGGCUAUACGAGACUGGAUGUCAGCAGCCUCCAUGGCAAAUUUGCAGAGGAAUUGGAUUGUACAUCUUAAACCAAGGUUAAUAUCAAUCGAAGGGUUUGAAAUUCAGCGACAACUUGCAUCUGGAGCACCAAUGUCACAUGAGUUGUGUACUGCUAUAUUUCGGAGGCUUGCCCAACUGGAUUAG
This 399-nucleotide ribosomal RNA is filed under the name Triticum aestivum (bread wheat). Its description in RNAcentral is "partial small subunit ribosomal RNA". The record is from RNAcentral. Lineage: Eukaryota; Viridiplantae; Streptophyta; Magnoliopsida; Poales; Poaceae.